This 581-nucleotide small RNA is filed under the name Pongo abelii (Sumatran orangutan). RNAcentral describes it as "retained intron". Lineage: Eukaryota; Metazoa; Chordata; Mammalia; Primates; Hominidae. The record is from RNAcentral.
GGAAGCGGCCGUUGCCAUGGAUCCUGCAGACGACUGGCUGGUGGACUCCUUGCGCUUGUAAAUCGUACCAGGAUUUCUAUGCAUUCGACCUCUCAGGAGCGACUCGAGUCCUUGAAUGGAUUGAUGACAAAGGUGGUAUACCUUCCUGGCCUGAAGGAGAGGGAAUCUCACUCCUGAGCUGGGUUUCAGGAGCUAAGCCUAGAGGGACCCAACCCACUCUUCUGGGCACCUGAGAGUCACUUGGAGCAAUUUGAUGCCUCAUCAGCACUAAUAUUCCUCUUAUUAAGAUCUCUGACCGGGAGCAGUGGUUCACGCCUGUAAUCCCAGCACUUUGGGAGGCCGAGGAAGGCGGAUCACCUGAGGUCAGGAGUUCGAGACCAGUCUGGCCAACAUGGUGAAACCCCGUCUCUACUGAAAAUACGAAAAUUAGCCGGGUGAGGUGGUGCACACCUGUGUACCACCAGCUACUGGGGAGGCUGAGGCAGGAGAAUCACUUGAACCCAGGAGGUAGAGGUUGCAGUGAACCGAGAUCACGACACUGCAUUCCAGCGUGGCUAACAAAAAACGUCUUCAGGCUGGGC